RNAcentral lists this ribosomal RNA (252 nucleotides) under uncultured bacterium. RNAcentral describes it as "partial 16S ribosomal RNA". It matches the Rfam family "Bacterial small subunit ribosomal RNA", at positions 524 to 776 of the family's 1533-position model. The record is from RNAcentral.
UACGUAGGGUGCAAGCGUUGUCCGGAAUUAUUGGGCGUAAAGAGCUCGUAGGCGGUUCGUCGCGUCGGCUGUGAAAACCCGAGGCUCAACCUCGGGCCUGCAGUCGAUACGGGCGGACUGGAGUUCGGCAGGGAGACUGGAAUUCCUGGUGUAGCGGUGAAAUGCGCAGAUAUCAGGAGGAACACCGGUGGCGAAGGCGACUACCUGGCCUGUUCUUGACGCUGAGGCGCGAAAGCUAGGGGAGCAAACGGG